GAUGAAGAACGUAGCGAAAUGCGAUAAGUAAUGUGAAUUGCAGAAUUCAGUGAAUCAUCGAAUCUUUGAAUGCACAUUGCGCCCGCCAGUAUUCUGGCGGGCAUGCCUGUCUGAGCGUCAUUUCAACCCUCAUGCCCCUAGGGCGUGGUGUUGGGGAUCGGCCAAAGCCCGCGAGGGACGGCCGGCCCCUAAAUCUAGUGGCGGACCCGUCGUGGCCUCCUCUGCGAAGUAGUGAUAUUCCGCAUCGGAGAGCGACGAGCCCCUGCCGUUAAACCCCCAACUUUCCAAGGUUGACCUCAGAUCAGGUAGGAAUACCCGCUGAACUUAAGCAUAUCAAUAAGCGGAGGA
This 348-nucleotide unclassified non-coding RNA is filed under the name soil metagenome. RNAcentral describes it as "partial contains 5.8S ribosomal RNA, internal transcribed spacer 2, and large subunit ribosomal RNA". The stretch from base 1 to 120 matches the Rfam family "5.8S ribosomal RNA", at positions 35 to 154 of the family's 154-position model. The record is from RNAcentral.